UGAGGAAUCUGUCCAUCGGCGGGGGAUAGCCGGCCCAACGGCCGGGUAAUACCGCGUACGUCGGCGGGAGCGCAUGCUCCUGCCGGGAAAGCAGCAAUGCACCGAUGGAGGAUCUCGCGGCCUAUCAGCUUGUUGGUGAGGUCACGGCUCACCAAGGCGACGACGGGUAGCUGGUCUGAGAGGGCCGACCGGCCACACGUGGGACUGAGAUACCGGCCCAGACCUCGUACGGGA
Molecule: ribosomal RNA, 234 nt
Filed under: uncultured bacterium
Lineage: Bacteria
Description: partial 16S ribosomal RNA
Rfam family: Bacterial small subunit ribosomal RNA
Source: RNAcentral